AGCAAUUUGGCGCAGUGGAAGCGCGGUAUGUGUGACCCACACUCAUAACCCGGAGGUCCUACGAUCGAAACGUAGAAUUGCUA
Non-coding RNA from Clonostachys solani, 83 nucleotides. The record is from the annotation of a GenBank genome assembly. Lineage: Eukaryota; Fungi; Ascomycota; Sordariomycetes; Hypocreales; Bionectriaceae.